Molecule: non-coding RNA, 27 nt
Filed under: Homo sapiens (human)
Lineage: Eukaryota; Metazoa; Chordata; Mammalia; Primates; Hominidae
Source: RNAcentral
UCUUAAACAGAAGAGAUGGAAACGCCU